RNAcentral lists this ribosomal RNA (497 nucleotides) under uncultured bacterium. Its description in RNAcentral is "partial 16S ribosomal RNA". It matches the Rfam family "Bacterial small subunit ribosomal RNA", at positions 28 to 507 of the family's 1533-position model. The record is from RNAcentral.
GACGAACGCUGGCGGCGUGCCUAAUACAUGCAAGUAGAACGCUGAAGCUUGGUGCUUGCACCGAGCGGAUGAGUUGCGAACGGGUGAGUAACGCGUAGGUAACCUGCCUGGUAGCGGGGGAUAACUAUUGGAAACGAUAGCUAAUACCGCAUAACAGUAGAUAUCGCAUGAUAGCUACUUGAAAGGUGCAAAUGCACCACUACCGGAUGGACCUGCGUUGUAUUAGCUAGUUGGUGAGGUAACGGCUCACCAAGGCAACGAUACAUAGCCGACCUGAGAGGGUGAUCGGCCACACUGGGACUGAGACACGGCCCAGACUCCUACGGGAGGCAGCAGUAGGGAAUCUUCGGCAAUGGACGGAAGUCUGACCGAGCAACGCCGCGUGAGUGAAGAAGGUUUUCGGAUCGUAAAGCUCUGUUGUAAGAGAAGAACGAGUGUGAGAGUGGAAAGUUCACACUGUGACGGUAUCUUACCAGAAAGGGACGGCUAACUACGUG